Non-coding RNA from Oryctolagus cuniculus (rabbit), 5160 nucleotides. NCBI's taxonomy places the organism in Eukaryota, Metazoa, Chordata, Mammalia, Lagomorpha, Leporidae. The record is from RefSeq and is a predicted model, not a curated record.
UUGUGGGAGGGCCGCGCGGCCUUUCCUGGGUUCCGCGCGCCGCCGGGACGUGUGGUGGCCGCUCCUGGGGCGCCGCGCCGGGGACUGGGCGCGGGGAGGCGGCCGCGGGGCCCGGAGGCUCGGUCCCCACGCCGUGUCCCGCGUUCACGCUCGCCCUCCGCGGCGGGGUGCGAGUCGGAGCGGGACAGCCUUCGUGAAGAUUCUGGAAAUCGGGACUCACAAGAGUUGUGUGAAUCAGUCCUGCGGACUCUGAAGAGCACUAAGAUGCGUGCCUGUGGACAGCCGGUAAAUAGACAAGUUGCGAAUAAAAGUUGAUGUGCUUGCUAAAGCUUAGUGUUGUGAGUGGUUCGUUCCAGGAAAUGGCUUCCUCCUCCCGAAGAGCUCAAAGGGAGAGUCCGUGCCGCCGCCCCCCACCCACCCACCCCCAGAAAUUGUCAGCAAUUGAGAGUAAUUUUCAGUGGGGUAAAUCCUGGACAUGGACAGCCUUGAAAACUUGUGCAAGGCCUAAAGAAAAGGGAUUCCUGGGGCCACUGCCUGAGGCGCCGGCAUCCCAUAUGGGCGCCGGAUUCUGUCCCGGUUGCCCCUCUUCCAGGCCAGCUCUCUGCUGUGGCCCGGGAAGGCAGUGGAGGAUGGCCCAGGUGUUUGGGCCCUGCACCUGCAUGGGAGACUAGGAGGAGGCACCUGGCUUUGGAUCUGCGCAGCUCCAUCUGUAGUGGCCAUUUGGGGAGUGAACCAAGGGAAGGAAGAUCUGUCUGUCAGUAACUGUCAGAUAGAGAGGGUCCUUUUUAAAAAAGUGACUCACGUGCUAGCUAGAGCUAGAAAAGUUGAUGCCUGGGCCACUGUGCACCUACCAUUAGCCCAUGUUGUGCCUUUACUUGGCAGGAAAGAACAAAGUGCUUAGGCAUUCAAAGAAAUUUAUUGAAAACAUGACUAAGCUGGGAACACAACGGCAAAACACGACAUAGUUCUCUGGAAGCUUAACGCUUAGUGGAGGGAAUAAAGCCACAGAUGAGAAACAUCCUUGAAUGAGAUAAGGCCCGUGAUGGGACCCGACAGGGAGACCUGAGAGCAGGGCUGAGAUGCAUGGGAUCGGGUCUGCAAGGCAGCUGAGGGAGUGUGUGGGCUGAGUCCACUUUGUCAGUUUUGGCUGCUUUUCCUCUGCGUUCCCUGGGCUAGACUUGAGUGCUCAGUGAGGUUCAUGACCUGGUGUGGUGGCCAAAUGAAGCUGAAGAGGUAGGUCCAGGCCAGGCUGCUUAAGGCUUUAUUAAAGCAAGGAAUGAAAAUCUAGAAAGAUCAGAGCCAGCAGGCUAACUGGCCACUGCGGUCGGCUAAGCAACACAUGGCCAGCUUAGGCCAGGGGGUGGUGAAGUAAGAUUGAAACUAGAGCACAAAGCCAAGACCUGAAAGUGGCCCUUGGGCUACUAGGCAAUGUCCAGCUUGCACACUUGCAAGUACAGUGGCUCUGAAUUCCUGGGCCUGAGGUUUGAGAUUCCAGUAAUUAACAAAAAAAAAAAAGUGGAGCUGCAAAGCAUGCUCCCAAGAGCAGAAGCCAAAUGAGGUUCCAUCAGGCAGGCCACAGACGGCUGCAGGAAAGGCCUAACUGGAGAGAGCUAUAGACAAGGACUGCCAAGAAUGAGGGAAAUGGUAGUGGCUAGAGGGAUGUGUGGUUACAUUUAAAACCAUGUAGCAGUCCUGCUGAGAACAGGUAUGAACACAGAGAACAGACCAGUAGAGCCGGCUGGGGCUGGGAAGUCAGGGUUGCCGGCAGCUUUGGUGAGGGCGAUGGGUGUCCUACCUGAGCACUCUUUCUCACCUGUAGGCGGCAGAGUUAUCUGGACAGGAAACCUGCAAGUCUCUGCAGAGGGCAGGCAGGUAGAGAAACCAUUUGAAGCUGAGGGGCAGAGGUUAUCUGAAAUUCACACUUAGUUUUUUUUUUGAGAACACAAGGACACUUUAGAAAUUAAAAGCAAUACUUAAAAAAUUUUACAUAUUUGUAAAUAACCAGUGAACUCAAUGCCACAACAUACAGCAUUACAGAGAACUUAAUGUACGAAUACAAUGUCUGCAGUCCAUCCGAUGCCUCUGAUGGCAUCUGGCCUUCCUGCCACUGGGCGUCCUGCUGCCUGGCAAGCCGGGUGCAGCCCAGGGUUCCAGCACAGUCGAGCUUCUGGCCUGGCACAGAUGGCAGACGCCGGCGCUCAGUGGAGUGGGGGUUUUCCUGUUCGGGAAGGAGCGUGUGGCACCCAGGGGGUUUUUGAAGACUGCUUUCCUUCCAGUUAAGACACAAGUCCUUCAGCACAAGUCUGCUGCCCUUCACCCUAGAAGAGGAGAGGCGAGCGUCCUCCGGCUGCAGAAACCUUUGCAGGUCUGAGGUGUCCGGAUGAAGCCCAGUUUCACAGCUUCCAGCACCAGUGGCGCACACACCCUUCCCACGGGCCUGGCCCUCCACCAGCAUCAGCUCUCUGUCUUGAGGCGGGAAGCUUGGAUAGUCUUUAUUGUUUUUGCUGGGUGUUUUCCAGCCAGGUUGCUUGUAGACGUUUGAGAUUUUUCUUCAAUCAGGCUAUCUUUAGACCCAUUUCUUCGCUGAAAUGAGAAAAAGAUUCAGAAGAACAAAAUAGACAAGUGUAUUUUCAUAGUUAUGACAUCAAAUUAUAACCAUGCAAAGUUAAUUUCAAAAGAUUCAACAAAUACUCUCAUUAAUUGCAAAACAAGCAGUCUGACAGUCACAUGCAGGACACCCCGAAACUUCUGUUAUUGGGUCCUUGGUAUUUCCAGAGGUAGCAGCCCCAAGGAUGGCUGGCGACCUCCCAGCAACCCCAGCAGAUGAGGCUACUGGCUAUACUCGAAGAGGGCAGCCUCACAUGUGAUGGGCGGCACUGUCCCUCUUAAAGAAGCAAUCUUCUGUCUGUGCUAUGACCAGCAUAAUCUGUCCAGGUCAGCCUAGGCACACUGGGGAGGGAGGCAGGAGGAUCAGAGACGCAGUGGGAAAUGUGUGGGUUCCCUGAGCUGCCUUCUGCAUAACAGGGAAAGUGAGGUGCAGGCCCACCAGUGUCGUCACGUGGCUCCUGCCCCUGGCCACAGCACCUACUCACGGCAGCCAAACUGCUGCCUCCUUUUGGCACUUGGACUAAAAGUCCUGGCCUGUGGGUCCUGUGUCCUCUGCGCUGCCCAGCACCAGCUCUCCUGCCUCUGGGUUCUGAGCCACACAGCCAGCUACCCAGGCCUGGGUCUCAGCUUCCUGUGCUGCUUUCUGGGAGGGUCUCUGACUGCCCUGUGUGCCUGGAGUGAGCCCACUCUGCCCUUGCAGGCCAUGGAUCUUCAUCAGCUCAGCUGGUUUGAUUAUUCUGUUUCCUUUUAUAGACUACGUGUGUAGGCCAGGGUCAGCAAAAAUUUUUUGCAAAAGGCCAGAUUCUGGGCCACAUCCUGCCCGUCACAUAUUAAUGACAGUUUAAGUAACCAUUCUAAAAAACUGCUGUUGAGUCCAGCUGUUAGCUGAUGCAGACCCCGGGAGGCAGCAGGUGAUAUCUUCAGUGAUCGGGUCCCUGCCACCCACAUGAGAGAUCUGAGUUCAGGCCCUUGGUCAGCGCAGGCAUCCUGGGAGUAAACCAGUGGAUGGGGCGCUCUCCGCCUUUCAAAUUAAAAUAAUAAAGUGAAAACCACUACUUAGCUGCCAGACUGCACAGAAACAGGCAGCAGACAUGUGACCCAAAGGCCAGCCUGCCACCUCCUGAGACCAGAGCGCAUCUGUUCAUCUGGAAUCAGGCACGUCCCAGAGUUGAUGCCACUGAUGAAGACACCGCUCUGGGCUGUUCUGUGCAGCAGAGAGAGCUAGUCUCCCAGCACCGAGUGUGUCUCGUUUACCUGUCUAGACUCUGAGUGAUGCUGGAUCUAGAGUAGUGGGAAAAGCAAAUUUACCUGAAGUUUGUGUUGAGGCCAACUUAAAUGGAAGACUAACCUGAAAGUUAACAGGGCUUAUUAACCACCACAUUAAGCCUAAAGCAUGUAAGUUACAGGUAAAGAAUGGAGGCUCAGAAGGAACGCACUCCAGGCCACAGAAGUGUAACCUGGGAAUGAGGCGAGACGUACAGGUGCAGGUCUGAAUGCAAAGUCUAAGCGUCAGUCCUGGAAAUGCAUCUGAAGAGGUGCUAUCAGCACUGAGUAGACACCUGCUGUUUUCUCCAGGAUCCAGUCCUUCAUGUGCCGUGCAGGCUGGUCAGCUGCCUUGCCCACUGCUCAGAUGGGCACUUUGAGCUCAGGUGUCCCUUCCUUCCUCCAGUCUUUGGUCACGACUGUGCUCUUCCCAGCAACUGCUCUGGCUGGAGAGAGCCACCCCACCUCACCCAGAGUCAGCCGUCUCCCAGGAGUGCCCCUUUGCCAACAACAGCCACUUGGGAACCUACGCUACACUGAACCAGCACGCGCUCUUUUUAACGGCCCUUGCUCGAGUCACUGGGCAAGCAAAGGGCGUCAGAGCAGACACCGCCGGCCGGAUGCUCACCCAGGUGGCCAUGAGCUGCCCAAACUUGCCUACAGAACUGCCCGUGCUCAUACAUCUGUAUAGGCAGACACGGGAGCCGUGACUGAAUUUCCACAGGAUCCGCAGUCCAGACGAUGAAACCCCAGCACUGCACACAGUGGGCUGACCCUGUUCAGUCAAUGUGUCACCGGCAUUAUGGGAUGGCUGUUUAGGCAGGCGUGAAGCCACCUACCUGCUUCAUUCAACCCCCAUUUUUUCCAUCUUAACUAAAAAAUGCCCCAUGAGAGAUGACGUCAGACACCGGGCUGGACACGUGAGCUACAGCACUGCCUGGCCCUGUUCACUGGGCUCUAGGUUCAUUCUGUUCAGGCAGCAGUGCUGCUCUGCUGUGCCCCCGACGGCCCUCCUUAACCUCGUCUUUAAACCUUAGAAUCCUGGCUCUCCUGGCCUUGGCCUUGCCCGGGCUUUGGACCACUUUAGACCCCACCCCACGGCCAGCUCUGCUCUAGGGGGUGCCCUGGUUCUGGAUCCUACACGUCCUGGUAAAACAUUCUGGGAGGGAGCGAGUCACGAGCGCAGCUCUCCAGAGCUCAGAGGCCCCUCAGCCUGCAGCCUGUGGCCUCCCGGACGUCUCGGCACCCACCUGAUGAACCGUGGCGCCUCCAGCACCCUGAGCGUCCGAG